Molecule: unclassified non-coding RNA, 4211 nt
Filed under: Hevea brasiliensis (rubber tree)
Lineage: Eukaryota; Viridiplantae; Streptophyta; Magnoliopsida; Malpighiales; Euphorbiaceae
Source: RNAcentral
GGUAAUUUUUUCCCCUAUCAUUCUUCUCCAGUUUUCUUCUGUACUUGAUUAUUCAUCAGGAAACACAAUUAAAGUGAAGCUGAUUGUGAUAGCAGGUUUGUUUCUUAUCAUAAAAACAUUGAAACAAAUGGUCCGAAAAUCAACUGCUUUUGGUUCAAUAAAAAUUUGAUUUUUCUAAUGGCAGCCUGUCACAGGUGCAAACAUCCUUCGCUGCAAUAUUUCCAGAUGUGAUAGUACGAAUACGGUGGUCAAACAUGUUAAGAAACCUGAAUAAAUUGCAAGAGAUGACUAAAAAAGUUAUAAUGUUCCAAAGAAAUGAAAUUGUUCAUUUAUCUACUUCAGCUAUCUACAUUUGUUAUAGGACCUUUGAACCAGUGCCUAGCACUCAAGAUCCAAGAAGAAACUGUGAGGAUGAGCAGGCCACCAACAGCAACAGGAGUGUAGUUGAGCGUCUCAUUGGUAAUGGGGUAGGCUACAGGCAAUGAAAAGAGGAUUGAGAUGGUUACUACCCAAAGGACUGCAAUCCAACCAACCAGGACACCAUAGCGACCCAAAUUGAAUGGUCCUGGGGUGAAUGACUUGCUUGCCAAGGUCACUCUGAAGAAGAUUGGCAGGGCAUAAGCAACAUACAGUCCAAUAGUGGCAAUGGAUACCAUGGCCUGAAAUGCAACUGUGCUUCCAAGAUACUUCAGAGAUUAAGAGGAAACAAAGGAUACACGAUUAGUAAAUGUGGGAAGAAGUGCCACGAUUAGAUGAAAAUGAUCAAUGCACGCAGAAACCAAAAUUGACAAGACUUGGCAACUAGGUCUAUAUUAACUCAACUCAACAGAGGUCAUGUCAUAUUGAUUAAUUACUGCAAUUAAUUCCAGUGCUAUCAUUUAUAUUCAGAGUAAAACAAAAAUGGGCAAAGAAGGCAGCCAAUAAGGAAUGUCUCAAAAAAAAAUGUACUUCAAAUAUUUUUCCAUUACCCCAGAGACUCAUAUUUUUCAUGAGUUUGCAGCAAUAGAAAACGGAAAAUUAUUUGCUGGCAAUUAGCAGAAAGCAACUCCAGAGAGGUUUUUCUAUAGCAAACAUGAUAAUUUGGACUGAAAAGAAAACGAAUGGAAUGGAGAUUACCGUUAAUGCCAUGCAAAAUGAUAUAAAUGCACCAAGCCAAACAGCAUUUAUAGGCACCUCCUGCUUGUUCACUUUGUGCCAAAGUGAUGAGAGUGGCAUGGCUCCAUCUCUUGAAAACGCAUAUGCCAUCCUGGAGUUGCUAGUAACUGAACUCAUCCCACAGAAAAAUAUGGCAAUAGCAACUACUCCUAAGCAAACAAUUCCACCAGUUCCACUUCCAUAUCUAUUCUUGAAUGCUUGAUAAAAUAUUUCAGCAAUGGCAUAACCACCAGCAUCGUUUUCUUCACUUAAGAGGUAAGGUAUGUCGGUAACAGCAAAGGUUAUUCCAAGAAUGUAAAACCAUCCAAAUAUAACAGAUAUCCCAAUGGCGCUGAUUAUUCCUUUAGGUCCAUUCUUAUCAGCACCCUUGGUUUCCUCUGUCAUAUGUGCAGAUGCAUCAUACCCAGUAAGGGUGUAUUGGCUCAUCAAAAGUCCAAGAACAAAUAUGUAGGGUUUACUAUUGAUUCCAUCCCCAUUAUUUGUGUUGAAAUAUGUGAAAACAAACUUGGCACUGGACCUCUCGGUCGCGACACAGGGUAUGAGAAUUGUAAGAACUACAACACCUAAAAGAUUCCAGGCAGCAGCCAGUUGUCCAAAGAAAGAUAGCAAUGAGAUGGGAAGACUAUUAAGAAUAGCAUGCAGGAGUAAAAUUCCCCCAUGCAUACCAAUGACUGCGUAUUUUGAUGCCUCAUACCCUCCACCAUUUUUUCCACCUGUGCUAAGAAGAAUGAUCACCUGAAUCAACUGUGCAAGUGAGAAAUCUAUACUGGUUGUAACAGCCCACUGCAAAUAAAAAUGUAUAUGAAAUGGUCAGCACAACAAGUCAUCUACAUCCUAAACAAGCUUGCCAGCCAGUACAUAUUGAAGACUAUCAAACUCCAGCAUUGACUCUCAGUUAUACCUGACCAACAAUGUUGAACCUGCAAGGAAACAGUCAAUUCACUUGGCAUUAGAACAUGUAUUGGGAAGACCAACUUCGGCGUCUCCACAGGCAAAAAGUGACCAGAUGUGUAAACUUUUUAUCCAAAUUCAACUUUUAUGCACAAGAAAUUGCAGGAGAUCAUAAGAACAUUUUACACAUAUUAUGUACUCAAAAGAAUACAAUGAGCCAGUUAAAUACAGUCAAUUCUUAAGUCAAUCUCUCCUGCAAAAUUUUUACAUUUAUAGAAGAACCAACUGACAUGCACAUGGAAUUUUAAUUCCAAUUUUUUCACAUUCAAGUGGAAGUUUCAGGAGUGCUGUGAAUAUGUGGCGUAAAAUAAACUUUAAAUUCUUCAUCAUUUACUGGUAUUUCAAUCACAUUAAGUUUGGUUGGAUCGCAAACCAGCAUUUUUUGCGUAUACUCUCUAUUUUUCUUGGUAGAUAAAACUUUUCAAGUUAUGAUCACUGUUUCAGCUCCCUUUCUAAUUUGAGGAGAUAAUCUGAUCACAAGGGUUGUACAUUAACAUGUAAUUUGAUCCCAAGAUUUUGUAGACCCCUACUAUAGGGGUCAAAACUUUUACAGGAAAAAGAAAGCAUACCCUGCUUUUCCAGUGUCAGAAAAUUUUGCUAGGUAAGUAUCAUACAAAGAACAUGUUGACAAGAAUCUUAGGCCCAAAUCAUUUUCAUGCCACACAUAUAUAAAUAUAUUUUGAAGUAUAAAUGCAUAAGCCUAAUGAAUCCACGAGUAAAUAACAAAACUGCUUUCAAAUUAUGAAGAAACAUUUUUGUUUUCUGAAAAGAAAAUGACGAGUUAAACAAAAGACACAGCUUUAAACCGUCCAAAUGAAUUGUAUUCAGAAAAUAAUGUAGUGAUGUGAUUAGUAUAUACAUAUCAAAUUACUAAACUGUGCCAGUAUUGUGAUUGACCAAAUCAAUCCAAAGAAUAAUAGAAAAACUUGAACUGCACUUUUUCAAAAAAACUUAAAACACAGAAAAAGAUAUGAAUCUUCUAGCAGUCGAUAAGGUGCAAAUAGCAGCAUAUGUAGUUCUCAUAGAUAUAAAUGCCAUCAAUUCAAAACUAUGCGCUAAUGGAAGAAGGAAGAGAACAAGCUAGGCCAUGGCCCAUGACCAAGGAGGCUUUUGAAGAUGUCCUGUAAACUCUAGUGAUAAAUGAAGUAUCAACUUCCUUUACAUUGCUGAUCCUAAGAACAUAACCUUUAAAUUACCUAACCUAAAGUGAAAUUGGUGAAUAGAACAGGAAGGUAAGGAAUGAAAGAAACAGAUCAUCAGAAACCAGAGAUUUGCAAACAAAUUGUCAAAUAUAAAGCCACAGAAGCAUAAGAUAUGUAAUGGAAUUUUGUACUACCAACAUAAAAAUUACAAUAAAAAAGAUUACCAGCCAGUUAACCAUGAGGCAAAGGGUGCCCAUCGAGGGCCAGCAAGCAUUGCACUCCAAUAGUAGAGACCCCCAGAGGUUGGGUAAGCGGAGCAAAUCUCAGCCAUUGCUAACCCAACAAUCAUGGUAAACCCACCAGCUAUAAACCACCCAUACUGCAAUGAAACUGGCCCGCCAAAACUCAAGCCAGUGUUAUACAAGGUGGUUAUGCCAGUCAGCACCGAUAUGAUCGAAAACGAAAAGGCAAAAUUGGAAAACACCCAGCCGGUCAGCCAUGAAGCAAAAGGCCCCCAUUUAUUGCCACACAGCCUGGCGCUCCAAAAGUAGAGACCACCAGAAGUAGGAUAAGCAGAGCAAAUCUCAGCCAUUGAUAAACCCACAACCAUGGUGAGCAAACCCACAAUUGGCCACCCGUAUACCAUAGUAACUGGCCCGCCAUAAGUUAGACCAGAACUGUACAACGUGGUGAGACCAGUGAUCACUGAUAUGAUCGAAAAUGUCACUGAAAAGUUUGCGAUUGCUGAGAGAGUACGGCUGAGUUCUUGCUUGUAACCGAGCUGUUGCAAUCGUAUAUUGUCGGAAUCAACGGCGUUGCCAUCUCCGAGAGGGAGGUAAAGGGCUGCAGCUUCCAUUUACUGAUAAAACAGAGAUUUGAAAUGAAACUCGUUCUCCAAGUCCAAGGCUUUAAAUAUCCUCGGCCUUUCGCAAGGUAGGCAUUUCGUUGGGAAAACUUCAUUUC